AAGCCGUGAUGUAGACGUUUGUUUAGCAACUCCUUGAACCGCUCCCAAGUCUCGUAGAAAGACUCCCCCUUUUUCUGAUGGUAGGAGUGAAUCAUGAUCCU
RNAcentral lists this small nucleolar RNA (101 nucleotides) under Helianthus annuus (common sunflower). Its description in RNAcentral is "Plant small nucleolar RNA R71". It matches the Rfam family "Plant small nucleolar RNA R71". From Rfam's summary of the family: R71 is a member of the C/D box family of snoRNAs containing the C (UGAUGA) and D (CUGA) box motifs. Lineage: Eukaryota; Viridiplantae; Streptophyta; Magnoliopsida; Asterales; Asteraceae. The record is from RNAcentral.